GGAAUUCCUAGUGGAGCGGUGGAAUGCGUAGAUAUUAGGAAGAACACCAAUAGGCGAAAGCAGCUAACCGGUCAUAUAUUGACACUAAUGGACGAAAGCGUGGGGAGCAAACAGGAUUAGAUACCCUGGUAGUCCACGCCGUAAACGAUGAUCAUUAGUUGGUGGCAAAAGUCACUAGCACAGCUAACGCGUUAAAUGAUCCGCCUGAGUAGUAUGCUCGCAAGAGUGAAACUUAAAGGAAUUGACGGGAACCCGCACAAGCGGUGGAGCAUGUGGUUUAAUUUGAAGAUACGCGUAGAACCUUACCCACUCUUGACAUCCUCGCAAAACUAUAGAGAUAUAGCGGAGGCUAACGAGAUGACAGAUGGUGCAUGGUUGUCGUCAGCUCGUGUCGUGAGAUGUUAGGUUAAGUCCUGCAACGAGCGCAACCCUUUCCUUUAGUUGCUAACAUUAAGUUGAGAACCCUAGAGAUACUGCCGGUGCAAACCGGAGGAAGGCGGGGAUGACGUCAAAUCAUCAUGCCUCUUACGAGUGGGGCAACACAUGUGCUACAAUGGCUACUACAAAGAGCAGCGAAACAGUGAUGUCAAGCUAAUCUCAAAAAAGUAGUCUCAGUUCGGAUUGAAGUCUGCAACU
Molecule: ribosomal RNA, 636 nt
Filed under: Mesomycoplasma ovipneumoniae
Lineage: Bacteria; Bacillati; Mycoplasmatota; Mycoplasmoidales; Metamycoplasmataceae
Description: bacterial SSU rRNA
Rfam family: Bacterial small subunit ribosomal RNA
Source: RNAcentral